This 69-nucleotide transfer RNA is filed under the name Episymploce cheni. RNAcentral's name for it is "tRNA-Gln". Lineage: Eukaryota; Metazoa; Arthropoda; Insecta; Blattodea; Blattellidae. The record is from RNAcentral.
UACAUUUUAGUGUAUGGUGCACAAGAAUUUUUGAUAUUCUAGGAGAUAGUUUAAUUCUAUUAAAUGUAU